This 393-nucleotide ribosomal RNA is filed under the name Clostridioides difficile. RNAcentral's name for it is "partial 23S ribosomal RNA". It matches the Rfam family "Bacterial large subunit ribosomal RNA", at positions 1 to 395 of the family's 2925-position model. The record is from RNAcentral. Lineage: Bacteria; Bacillati; Bacillota; Clostridia; Peptostreptococcales; Peptostreptococcaceae.
GGUCAAGUUAUUAAGGGUGCAGGGCGGAUGCCUUGGCACUAGGAGCCGAUGAAGGACGUGAUAAGCUGCGAUAAGCUUCGGGGAGUUGCACGUAAACUUUGAUCCGAAGAUUUCCGAAUGAGGAAACUCACUUAGAGUAAUGUCUAAGUAUCAUUAAGUGAAUACAUAGCUUAAUGAGGGGAACUCAGGGAACUGAAACAUCUAAGUACCUGAAGGAAGAGAAAGAAAUUCGAUUCCGUAAGUAGCGGCGAGCGAACGCGGAUUAGCCCAAACCAAUAAAGUUUUCUUUAUUGGGGUUGCGGACAUAUCAUAACGAAGAGGUAUCGUAAUUGAAGAGGUUUGGAAAGACCCACCACAGAAGGUAAUAGUCCUGUAUGUUAAACGAGAAGACUU